Molecule: long non-coding RNA, 2708 nt
Organism: Acinonyx jubatus (cheetah)
Lineage: Eukaryota; Metazoa; Chordata; Mammalia; Carnivora; Felidae
Exons: 5
Source: RefSeq, a predicted model, not a curated record
UUUGACCGUUUAAACAUGGCAGCCGAUGUUAACUUGAAGGUGGUAAGGAGACAAGAGAGAAGUCUUUCUUUCUCUUUACUCCUUUUCUCCCCCAGCCCUUGCCAAAUCCUAUCUCAAAGUUCCAUUUGCUGAGAUUAGGCAAGAGACACACCAAGGACAUACCGGGGAACAUUCCAAACAGAAUCACUGGUGUCAACGCGAGCUUUGAUAGUCUCACUUGGGCCAUCACAACCAAUUCCAGAACCCACAGAAUACAUGAAAUAAGUACGUGGUGAUACUGUGCCUCCCAUGGAACAAGUGAGAAGAUAUCAAGUCCUUUAAAAGGAAAGUGAAUGCUUGUCUUUCCUAAUACCAGAACCAUUAGUGCACAGCCAGAAAUAAUGCCUCCCUUCUGCUUAUGUCAGGCACUCUCCCUUGGAAAAUCAGAGAACCAUAUUCAAUAAAGCUUUCGUAUCAAUUGCAUGGCUUUCUCAGAAACUCUAGGAACAGAGGGUAACUACAUCCUUAUUGAGCCCAUGAACUCUCAGUCCAUGAAGAACUAUGUUGGACUCUCAGAGUGUAUGAGGAGUCUCCCCUACGUGAUUUAACAUGGACAAACCCCGGAUUGUAUUGAACAGGUUGCACAUCUGGCCAAAGAGUACAUGUUUCUUAGGAAUGAUAAGCCGUACUACCUAUUAAAGUGAGUGUAAAGACACAGAUAAAAUUCUUAUGCCACUUUAUGAGCCAAACAGGGCGGUGAGUAGGGCAAUGAGGCAAAUGGUCAGGGAUGGGGAGGAACAUGGCACUCACUGAGGGAAAUGGCAGAAGACGUGAAGGAAAUGGUCACUUCUGUGACUCUUAGAAGAGGUAGCUGGCUAAAACUUUGAAAGGCUGAAAUGCAAAUCUUUCUUAUAUCUAGGGCUAGAUUACGUUUCUAGAGGUUAUCCUUCUGCACCCAGGCAGGGUCCCCUAAAACUAUUUUUAGGUCCAGUGUAAACCUCCCCAACCCCUGCUAAUCUUACCUCUUUGCGCCUGACAUCCGUUUCUACCCACUGAAGUAUUAGUGGGAGCUAAAUCAGGACCCAGGAAACUUUAUCAGUCAAUCGCCUCUUAUUAAAUUCUAGGCUUCCUGGUUUAAGGAAGUAUCUGGCUGGCGGUGUUUGUGGAGUGGCGCUAAAAGGACAGACAGUAGGAGAUCUGCCGCCUGUUGCACCCGCGCAGUUCUAGGUGCUAGAGAAAGAGCUGCGAAGGAGACAAAGCCCUUGCUGGAAGGGGCUCCCUUCCUGCUAAGAAAUGCACGCCUUUCUUGCAGUAGCCUGUGAUCUCGGUGCCCCCAUCUGUAAGAUGUUUUCUAGAACUAGAGCGACUUUUUAAUAUAUGCAAUUCACAUGUUUGAAGAGAUAAUGGAGCAUCAGCCUUGAGGACACACAAUCCCAAAUUUGUCCACAGUGGCCCAGGAACAACACCAAGGUCAUUAUCCAAGCACCUGCCUCGGCUACAGUCCAGGGAGAGCUGGUCAUUUGUUCAGUGCAAGAGCCAGUCCCACAGCCUCUGGAAAGUCCCCGCCUGAAGCCUCAUCUUCCAUUUGGGACACUCAUCCUCACGUGAUAAUGUAUCUCCUUGAGACUUCCAGAGCCUUCUGCCUCCAUCAUCAGCUGGAUCUGAUAGUGGAGUCGGCUUUGACUUAGGCUUUGCAUGGUUCUGAAGAGAUAGAGACAGAGCGUAAGCAGGGGAGGGGCAGAGAGAGAGGAAGACAUGCAACACAGCACAGAGCCCAAUGCGGGGCUCGAACUCAAGAACCGUGAGAUCAUGACCUGAGCCGAAAUUGGACGCUCAACUGACUGAACCACCCAGGCACCCUAGGACUUAUUUUUUAACUGCAAGUUUGUACCUUUAAAAAAUUUUUAAAAUUUAAAUCCAAGUUAAUGGUUUCAGGAGUAGAAUUUAGUGAUUCAUCACUUUCAUAUAACACCCAGUGCUCAUCCCCACAAGUGUCCUUCUUAAUCCCCACCACCUAUUUAGCCCAUCCCCCACCCAAUACCUCUCCAGCAACCCUCAGUUUGGUCUCUGUGUUCAAGAGUCUUUCAUGGUUUGCCUCCCUCUCUCUGUUUUUAUCUUAUUUUUCCUUCCCUUCCCCUAUGUUCAUCUGUUUUGUUUCUUAAAUUACACAUAUGAGUAAAAUCAUAUGAUAUUUGUCCUUCUCUAAGUUAUUUUGCUUAGCAUAAUACAUUCUAGUUCCAUCCACAUUGUUACAAAUGGCAAGAUUUCAUUCUUUUCGAUCGCUGAGUGAUAUUCCGUUAUAUAUAUACAUUAUAUAUAUACACACCACAUCUCCUUAAUCCAUUCAUCAGUCAAUAGUCAUUUGGGCUCUUUCCAUAAUUUGACUAUUUUUGAUAGUGCUGCUAUAAACAUUGGGGUGCAUGUGCCCCUUCAAAUCAUCAAUUUUGUAUCCUUUGGAUACAUACCUACUAGUGUCAUUGCUGGGGUUGUAGGAUAGCUCUAUCUUUAAUUUUUUGAGGAACCUCCAUGCAGUUUUCCAGAGUGGCUGCACCAGCUUGCAUUCCCACCAGCAGUGCCAGAGGGUUCCUCUUCCUCUGCAUCCUCGCCAGCAUCUGUUGGUGCCUGAGUUGUUCAUUUUAGCCAUUCUGACAGGUGUGAGGCGGUAUCUCAUUCACCCUUUUGGGAACUAUUAAUUUUAAUUGUGCACACAAUUUGUUGUUUGGAUUUUU